GACGAACGCUGGCGGCGUGCUUAACACAUGCAAGUCGAACGGUGAAGCGAGUGCUUGCACUCGUGGAUCAGUGGCGAACGGGUGAGUAACACGUGAGUAACCUGCCCAUCACUCUGGGAUAAGCACUGGAAACGGUGUCUAAUACUGGAUACGACCAACCCUUGCAUGGGGUGUUGGUGGAAAGAUUUAUCGGUGAUGGAUGGACUCGCGGCCUAUCAGCUUGUUGGCGGGGUAAUGGCCCACCGAGGCGACGACGGGUAGCCGGCCUGAGAGGGUGACCGGCCACACUGGGACUGAGACACGGCCCAGACUCCUACGGGAGGCAGCAGUGGGGAAUAUUGCACAAUGGGCGAAAGCCUGAUGCAGCGACGCCGCGUGAGGGAUGACGGCCUUCGGGUUGUAAACCUCUUUCAGCAGGGAAGAAGCGAAAGUGACGGUACCUGCAGAAGAAGCACCGGCUAACUACGUG
RNAcentral lists this ribosomal RNA (469 nucleotides) under uncultured bacterium. RNAcentral describes it as "partial 16S ribosomal RNA". It matches the Rfam family "Bacterial small subunit ribosomal RNA", at positions 28 to 507 of the family's 1533-position model. The record is from RNAcentral.